This 4811-nucleotide long non-coding RNA is filed under the name Equus caballus (horse). RNAcentral's name for it is "lncRNA (ENSECAG00000051129.1)". Lineage: Eukaryota; Metazoa; Chordata; Mammalia; Perissodactyla; Equidae. The record is from RNAcentral.
CGAGGAGGCCACUCAAGCUGGUGCAAGUGCAGGUCAGUCCUGAGAGUGGGUGUCUCGUUGUCUCACUCUAGUGCCAACCCUGGCUGUGAGGACCCUGGGGUGUCACAUAUGCUCUCGAACAAGACAAGCUGCUUUCAGCUAAACUACACAUGGCAGCCAUCACUGGUUUCCAUUCAGCAGAUAUUUACUGAGCACGCCUGUGUCUCAGCACUGCCAGGGACUUCCCUUCCCGUCCUGGUCACCAUCUGCUCCUUCACUGAGCCCCGAGGUGGCUUCACAGGCAGCAUGACCUCACCCAGCACCUCUUCUUCUGACAGAUUCUGAGCCCCCAAGGGCCCAGACCACACCACCACUCUGCAGGAAAACAAAGGCAAGAAGAGUGUGAGCUGAGAGGAUUCAAGAGGAGAGUGAGGAUGGGAGGGGGACCGGAGGCGAGCAGAGGAGGAGCCACUGGUCUAACCUCGUCAAGAGGCAGUCAUGGACUCCUUGUGCCGCAGCUGGUUCUCCUGCCAGAACCUCAUGCUGUAAAUCAGCCUCCUUCUCUGUUCCCAGGCUGUCAAAGACCCCAGCUCGUCCUGCAUGCUGCAAAGGACCCUGGGGGUAUUACCGAACAUGAAGAGGAGAUAGUCCAGGUGCUUGUCCUUGACGGUGUCUGUCUCCAUGGAGGAUAGUGGAUUCUGGAGCCAGGAAGCCAGAGACUGCAACUGAACUCCUCCUCGUCUCCUGACGUCGAGAGAUCGAGUGGAUUCGGGAUUCUGGUGAUGAGAGAGAUUUGAUUCUGGUGUCCUGGAAACCUAAUACCUCUAAUCCUGAAUGGUAUGGCCUUGAAGAAAAAUACAAGCACAUAUUCAGCCUAACAGAGCUGGGUUUCUUGAUCAUCAGAAAUCUCAGUAUGGAAAUGAGUGGACUGUACACAGCGAAAAUCAGGUUCCGGUCAGGAAAACCCCAGGAGAAAGCCUUCAGACUCUGUUUAUAUGGUAAGGUUUGUAGGGACCACGCCCCAAACAGGCGUUCUGACAACCAUUUUAUCUAAAAGUUAGCCUAGAACUGGGUAAAAAAAAAGAAACCAGUGUUUAGGAGUUUUUGCAUUUCUUCUGAUGCCCUAAAAAUAAAACUAAAUAUUAAAGAUUACAUCCCAGGAAAAACUAGUUAAAAUUUCUUAAAAAGUAUAAAAUGUACACGAAAUGGGGGAGAGAGAAAGAGCCACUGAAAAGGAUAAAAAACCUUUCCCCAAUCAUAAAAAUACUGCAAAAUUGAUUAUUAGAUAUAUGCAAUUAUAUCAAAAAUGUCCUGAAUUGGUUGGUUGAAAACCUGAUUUAAAAAUUCUUAAAUGACCCAAAAUAGUUGGCAACACCAAAACAACAAAACAGAACACCAAAAAGAUGAAAUAAAAGCACCAAGAAGGAGACUGAUGUUAGGACGAGUCAUUAGAUAAAUUGCUUUGAGACCAAUUGACCUGAAGUCCAGCUGGAGAGAUCUCAGGACAAAGCUCUGUCCUGCUCUGUCCAAGUCAAAGAUGCAGAAGGCGACCCAGCCGCUGUGCCCUGGGGCUCCCAGGCCAACGAGGAGCCCAAUACCCUGCCCCAGGAAGCAGAGAACCUGGGCAGAUGCGCAGUGGAGAAAGCAGCAAAAAGAGAGGAGGGGGAGCAGUGCCUGGGGGCAUCCAACCUGCCAGAGCUCUCGCCCAUUGCUGCUCUCUGCCUCCACCCUCCGUCUCCUCUGCUUGGGUGAUCCCAGCAGCCUCCUAACGGGCCUCCCUGCCUCUCCUCUCUUCCUCCUUCCAGAUCACCCUCCAACCAGCUGAUAUUUGGAUCUUUUUAAAAAUGCAGUACUCAGCCUGUUAUUCCCCUGCUUAAAACCAAAUAAUACUUCUUGUCCCCACCCCCACAGGAUAAUGGCCCUCAGGAAAAGUCCAACCCCACACAGGAUCUGGUCCUUGCCUGCCUCUCCAGCCUCAUUUCCCAACACUUUCCCUCAUGGGCAAUACUCCAAAUUAGCUACCCUUCACUCACCCACCUGGCCCUUUCUCUUCUCCUGGACAUAUGCUGGUGGCUCUCCAGGGGACAUCCAUCUCCCCACUUCCCCUGCACAACUAGCAAAGCCUCACCUAGUGGGAGCAGGGGAGGGGUGAGGGACUCCAACAUGGGAGAUGGGAACGCUUGUAAGAAGAGACUGGGGUGACUGGCUUGGCUGUCCAAACUGGGGUUUUCCAUUGGUGAAGGGUGGGGAAUACACCCGCUGACCCCCCGGCCUCCAGCUCUUGAUUCCUGAUCUUGUCUCUGUCCUCCUUGGCUGAUAAAUUCCUUGCAUAGCUUUCUCAGUGACGUCAUACCGGUACAGUCUCAUCCUCUCUCUUUUGGCAGCAAGAAACAGAAACCUACUCAAAUUAGGUCAAUAAAGAGGGUUUUCAUUGUAAAGAUACAUAGAUCUCUAGGAGGAAGAUGAAUACAGGAGCUCCUCUAGCCCUCAUGCUCAGGGACGGGAAAGCUGACGGGCACUCUCUUCUGUCUGUCAGGGACCAUAUGGUCCCUCAUCUUUGCUCUCAGUGUCUCUCUUUCUCUCUCCUGUCAGCUUUAUUCUCCUGGGCUUGUCCACACGGUAGGGAACAUGGCCUUCUGCAGCUAUGGGUCCCACUGGAUCAGAGAGCAAAGGGACUUUCCUGGUGCACUCCACAUGGAAAAUUCCAGGGAAGGACCCUUGUUGGCUGGGCUUGGGUCACAAGACCGCCCCUAGAUGGCUUACUGGCCAGAGGAAUAGGCAAGGCCUGGGACUUGUGCCCUCCCCUGUAAUGAGGGUUAGGCUGCUGUGAUUGAGAUCAUAUCAAAAAUACAAGGUUGGAGCAGAAGAGAAGUUGCCAAAAGAAGAAGUCCUACUAGCUGGUUUCCUUUGGCCUUGUUUUCCAUUCCCUGACAUCCCAUCAAUGCCCAAGUUCAGUCUUCAAACAACACUCGCUCUCUCCCCAUCGCCUGUAGGACUAAGUACUCAUCACAGCAUGAGAGGACCUCCACUGACUGAUGCCGUCAUUCCAGCCAAACAUAUUGCUCCUCAAACACAGCCUCUCUCUCCCUCAUGGCUUUCAGAACUGCCACAGCCUAAGAAAACGAUUUUCUGAUCUAUACUAAAGGAAUACUUCCGUUGUGAAGUCCCAAGGUUCUUUCUCUUAGUUCUUUUGCAGAUUGUGUUUCUGUCUGCCUUGCACUACAAUUGUUUGUGUGUGGUCUACUCUCCACUUGAGAGCAGGGUCCGUGCCCUGCUCCCCUUGGCAUCUGCCCAGUGUUUUCUACAGCUCCCAGCAGGGAUUCAGGAAGUACUGUAUUCCUUUAACCAGAUAGAGUUAAGCAAUAUGUAAAGGAUACCUACAGAAACACACCUACUUUUUCUAGGAUUUUUGAUUAUUCAAGCCUGAUUACUAUUCCUUCACCUCUUGAAAAGAGCAGAAUAAAGGUUCAUAUAAACCAAUUACUGAGUGAAUACUCUAAAUGCCUGAGAGCAUGAGCUUUCUAAACACCCAUCUGUGCUUCAUAACACUUUAUAAUAGACAGUCCAUUUGGUUUUAUAUUUAAAUUGUUAUCUGUUCAAAAAAUCAGAUCUUUGAAAAAGCUAAUUAAAAUAUUGUUUUCCCCAGACACAUGUUCAAACAGUCUUGAGGAGAGCCCACACAUUUGUAUUUUUAAUAACUGCCCCAGAUCAGGGGCUGGCAAACUGUACGCCAUUGGUCAAAUCCAGCCCAGUGGCUGUUUUGUAAAUAAAGUUUCAUUGGAACACAGCCACAUCCAUUCAUUAACAUCUUGUGUUUGGCUCCUUUCGUGCUAUAACAUCAAAGUUGUGUAGUUGUGACAGAGCCCAUAUGGCUGGUGAAACCUAAAAUAUUUGCUAUCUGACCCUUUAGAGAAAAGGUUGCCUCCCCUGCCUAGAUGAAUCUACUGACAGCUGAUCCAUGUAACUUCAGAGGGUUAACAUGAGGAUUAAAUGAGUCCAUGUAAACCCUUGGAGCCGUGACUGGAAAUAUAUACCUGCUCAAUAAGUGCUUGCUGUGGUUUUCUUUUCAUCUGCUAAUGAAGAGUGAAGACCUUUCCUCCCCCAGCAGAUCCCCGUACUUCCCUGGUCAGCACCAAUGCAGCUGCAAGAAAGACCGAAACCGAGACUUUGGCUCUCUAGAUUCCACAGCAGAGGAAGCGAGGACGGAGAGGGAAGUGGGGCUGCGUGUGGAUGAGCCACCUCUCAGAUUGGCCACGUGGCCGUUACUGGCUGCUUUUACCGGUGUUACAUCCUUUGCUCUGGUCUACCCACCAUAGUAAAAUAAUCCACUGGAGUAAUAGUGGAUUUGAAAAUUUCUCCUUGAAUUUCCAACAGUGUUUUGGUUUUGAUUUUGUUUUGUUUUGCUUUAUAGCAUUUAUGCAUUUCCAAACCAUGUUAACAUAUUAAUCUAAAAUAUCUCUCUUUGGCCUGCUUAAUUUUUUUUUUAAAGAUUUUAUUUUUUCCUUUUUCUCCCCAAAGCACCCCCGGUACAUAGUUGUAUAUUCUUCGUUGUGGGUCCUUCUAGUUGUGGCAUGUGGGACGCUGCCUCAGUGUGGUUUGAUGAGCAGUGCCGUGUCCGCGCCCAGGAUUCAAACCAACGAAACACUGGGCCGCCUGCAGCAGAGCGCAUGAACUUAACCACUCGGCCCCGGGGCCAGCACCCUGCUUAAUGUUUUUUAUCUUAAAUUUUAUUUGGUCUGUAAUGACUCUUGCCACACCUGCAGUCAUUUUCUUGACAUUUUCUUCAUCUACUGUUUCCCAUCUCUUUCUUUUUAAUCUUUCCGUGUCGUUAG